UACGGAGGAUCCAAGCGUUAUCCGGAUUUAUUGGGUUUAAAGGGUGCGUAGGCGGCUUAUUAAGUCAGGGGUGAAAGACGGUGGCUCAACCAUCGCAGUGCCUUUGAUACUGAUGAGCUUGAAUACACUUGAGGUAGGCGGAAUGUGACAAGUAGCGGUGAAAUGCAUAGAUAUGUCACAGAACACCGAUUGCGAAGGCAGCUCACUAAACUGUAACUGACGCUGAGGCACGAAAGCAUGGGGAGCAAACAGG
RNAcentral lists this ribosomal RNA (253 nucleotides) under uncultured bacterium. Its description in RNAcentral is "partial 16S ribosomal RNA". It matches the Rfam family "Bacterial small subunit ribosomal RNA", at positions 524 to 776 of the family's 1533-position model. The record is from RNAcentral.